AAGGUCCUCAGUUGCAAAUAGCAUUCCUGAAUAAAUCCCAAUGUAUAUGUAAAUGUGAAGUGUCUGUGUUGUGGUUGGAUAUCUUGGAUAUAAGGGACAGAGCUCCCAUUCACCGGGGAGUUGGUCUGCUUAACAGAAGCUCCCACACAUCAACUGUGUGUCACACAACUUACUGGCUGUAUUUUCUACUACUGGACAUUUCAAUAAACUGAGGAAACAUAAGAAAACAGAGAUUGAGAGCCUUUAUUAUAACAAAUGGAUGAAGUGGGUGGCGAUCACGCUGUCUUUUCUGUCUUUUUUUGAUUUUUUUGAACCCCCAUUUUUGUCAAAAUGCUGGGGAUUAUCUGUCGUGUUAGACUUUGACCAGCACUGUAGUAAGGGAUCACAACAUUUUGCUGUAAAAAGUAUGUUUCAAAUGAUUGUCUGGAGGAUUUGUAUAUAUAUAUGUAAAUAUAUUUUAAGAUAUGUUUGGUGGUUUUUUUGUUUUUUUUUUGAUUAGAUUUUUUUCCCUUUAAAUCACCAUACUGUUUCCUGAUGGUUUUUUUUUGUUAAUUCAUAUCAGUUUAAAUUGACAAAAGCAGAAUUGGUUAAUUGGGUUCUAAAAUUGAUUAAGUAAACAUCUUUCUCAUG
This is a long non-coding RNA of Solea solea (common sole), 630 nucleotides long. RefSeq lists it as uncharacterized. The transcript has 2 exons. The record is from RefSeq and is a predicted model, not a curated record. NCBI's taxonomy places the organism in Eukaryota, Metazoa, Chordata, Actinopteri, Pleuronectiformes, Soleidae.